RNAcentral lists this ribosomal RNA (450 nucleotides) under uncultured prokaryote. Its description in RNAcentral is "bacterial SSU rRNA". It matches the Rfam family "Bacterial small subunit ribosomal RNA", at positions 355 to 796 of the family's 1533-position model. The record is from RNAcentral.
UGAGGAAUUUUGCGCAAUGGGGGAAACCCUGACGCAGCGACGCCGCGUGGAGGACGAAGGCCUUCGGGUCGUAAACUCCUGUCAAGAGGGACGAAAGCUACGGGGAUGAAUAAGCCUCGUGGUUGACGGUACCUCUGGAGGAAGCCCCGGCUAACUCCGUGCCAGCAGCCGCGGUAAUACGGAGGGGGCCAGCGUUGUUCGGAAUUAUUGGGCGUAAAGGGCGUCUAGGUGGCUGUGCAAGUCGGAGGUGAAAUCCCUCGGCUCAACCGAGGAAUUGCCCCCGAUACUGCAUGGCUUGAGUCCCGGAGAGGGUAGCGGAAUUCCUAGUGUAGCGGUGAAAUGCGUAGAUAUUAGGAGGAACACCAGUGGCGAAGGCGGCUACCUGGACGGGUACUGACACUGAAGCGCGAAAGCGUGGGGAGCAAACAGGAUUAGAUACCCCCGUAGUCC